RNAcentral lists this long non-coding RNA (4092 nucleotides) under Homo sapiens (human). Its description in RNAcentral is "HSALNT0063989". The record is from RNAcentral. Lineage: Eukaryota; Metazoa; Chordata; Mammalia; Primates; Hominidae.
CAGUCCCGGGGAAUGACUGUUCAACCUGACUUCAAUCAUAUGUCCACCUCUCUAUGAUCAGAUCUGUUAACAGAAGACAUGGCAGGGAAGAGAAAUAAUAACCAAUAUAAUGGGUGGUACAAUGUUAAAAUAUAUAUAUACUUGAGAAAAUAAUAAAUAAUAGGAAUAAAAAUCACAUUCUAUAAAAACCAAAUGCAUAUAGACAGCCAACUAUAUCGAAAGUUUAGGACAAAUAAUCCUAUGUUCAAGACAACAUCAGGGUGUGUUUAAACAGUUUAGAACUCUUCUUAAACCCGGCCCCCUCUUUCCUUCUAUUACUUUUUCCUCUAAAUAUAUUGCCUUCUAGUUGUUGGCCAAAUAUGGGACUGAAAUAUGUUUAAAUAUAUUGAAAUUAAUCAGUAAAGACUUGCUUACACUCUUUGCAGAUUUUAAAUCAGGAGAUUUUUAAAACCAUUUCAAACCUCACUAAGCUUUUUGUUUUGUUUACACAGAGGAUUCCCCAUGUCUCAUAAGCUUAAAGAAAAAAAAAUUAUUCAAUAGACCAGUCAAAUGGAAGAGGCUUUUAUUUGUAAAGAAAUGAACUUACAACUGAUCUACAAUAUAUUAUUGUAAUAUAAACAAUAUAAAUAAAUGAUCCUGUAGGCCCACUAAUCUUCCAUCCAGACCCACAUGAAGCAAUGUUACAACAAUAUUCUAUAUGAAAAUGUGCAGGUAACAAAGGUGCAAUUACAAGCAAGUUAAGCAGCAGAGUAUAAGGUGCUUUAAUUUAAUAGUUAAUGUUGCCAUCAACAAACAUUUAAAUGCUCAAUUUACUUCACUGAAUACAGACACAACAAAUAUGAAAAUCUAAAUUCAUACACAUGCUACUUAAUAUGAAAGUGCUUUCUCUUUUUUAAAAAAAUACACCAAAUGGACACUUUUUACAUAGAUCAAAUGUGCUCUUACAAUGCAAAAUUAACCUUCAUUUUCAGGUUAUACAUUUUAAAACUGUAGCUAUCAACACCAAUCUAGGAACUCUAAUGCUAAGAGUGCUAAAAACUAUUUCAUUUCUUGUAAGGAGGACUCUAAUACAAUAUCCAAUGUAAAGAAUACAUCUAUAUAUAAUCUUAACAUGUUUUCUGUAAAGAUAAAAAAUGUUUUCUUUCCCCUUGGUGAUCUUUGUUCAUCCUGGGUGGAUCAUCUUUUGAGAUGAAAUUAAAUGCUCCAAGUAGAUUUGUAAAAUACCAAUAUUGAUGAAUGUGGGUAAACAGUUCAUUUCAUGAUCCACACUGCUGUGAACCAAAGAAGCAGAGGUAGGCUUGUGUUUACUGAAAUCCAGACUAGGAAAGAGAAACCUAUAGCUCUUCUUUUCCCAAUUCUUAGACUGAGACACAACCUAGCAAAUAAAAUACUAUCUUAAAAUGCCUCUCUUUAUAACAAUCUACAGAGGUGAUUCAACUGUGAUAUCUGAAAAUGGAAACUCUGUAAUUCUGGCAACUCAAUUACAACAACCUUUGAAUUUUUGACAAAUAUUCUCCAACUGUAAUAAAAGGUUCUCACCUUUUUCAGAAAUCAAAAAUCACUAACUUCUACAUCACUGGAACUAUUAAUAUCCAUGCUCCCAAGCAUGGAGACAGUGGGUAUAGAGAGUGAAAGAAUGAGUCUGAUUACAGGUAAAUCUUGACAUAUAAAAACUAUAACCUAUUUACUGCUAUAACUGGCAUCUAACAAAACGCAUUAUUUUGAACUAUGGAUGAAAGCCAUAUCUAUCCUAAAUAUCUUCUAUCCUCUUGGGUCUAGAAUGCUUUGUUCCUCCUACUUGUCUCCUCCUCUACUUCCCUAUCCUUCCCCCUAGAAAACCUUCCUUAGGGCCCAGCUAGUUACAUAUGUAGUACACAAGAUAGAGAUUGAGCAAUCAUUUUGCAUAGAUGCGCCAGUUUCCACUGCCCAAAGGUUGCUCUGGAACAUGACUGUCAGGUAUCAGAAAGUCCUGCCCCAGCUGCCUCCCUUCCUAAAGUUAGCCCCCAUACGAAAUCCUCUCUAAGGAUUCUGAGACAAAGAUCUCUCCAAGAAAGAAGUUUUCAUGGUUUUCUUGGAGCUAGAGGCCUUAGAGAGGUAGUGAGAUGAGGCCCUUUCAUGCCAUUAGCUAAUGCUCAAUGCCAGUAGGCUGCAUGUGUUCCUGCAAUCCACCAAGGUGAAAACCACAAACUAUAACCAGGCUGUUCUGGCUGAAAAUACAUCUUUAAAACAUUUUAACAGUGUGUCCAGUCAGUUUCAUCCACUGGAUAUGGCUGUCAGGUCAGCAUCACUCACAUACAUCUAUAAUAGUGUAUUCUUUCAAAAAUUGUUUAUACACACUUAAUAUAGGCAUAUAGCCUAAGACUAUAUUGCCUCCCUACCAUACUUGUGCCAUUGUGGUACCAAAAGCCUGAAGAUGUACAUAAUGUACUUUAAGACAUUUAACUGAACAAGUCAGUGGGAGACAGGGCACUAUAACACAUUUCAAUUCAAUCUAAGACUUGUAUUUGUGAAUAGAUGUCUCAUUAUAAUUUUAUACUUGAUACAUGAAGAUAAGCUACGUCAAAAAUUAUUCAAAGGCAUGAUCACAAUAAUACUUGUUUCAUAGUUCUAAGUAUUUUGAUACACCAGGAAACAAAAAUCAACUGGGAUCCCUAAUGAAAGAAAAUUAUUUCUUCUAAGUAAAACAUGAAUUUCACUUCAAAAGUGCAGAAAUGUGCUCAGUGUUGAAGUAGGCUAAGCUAACAAGGAUGAUGGCCUCCUCCUCUGACUCUUCCCAUGCUCAAGCUUUUGCAUUACCAUUUCUCUCCUCCCAUUCCACCUUGUCUACUCCUAGGUGACUGCUCUUAAAACACACCUUUUAAAAAGUUCUGUUUAGAGCAUUCAACAGCAAAGUAACAGGACCAUCAGGGAAAUAAUAUGCUACUUAAAAAGUGACAGGAGGAUUUGGGACAACACUCUAUCUCAUACUAUAUUGACUACUCAAAGCUGCAUAGCUGUGUCUUACACAUGCCUACACAAGGCUUGAUGAAUAUUAAUGUCAUAUAAAAAAUAAUUUUUACAAAUCAGCUCUCUUAGUUGUUUAACUUCCCCAGGAACACAAGGCUUAAAGCAAAAUUUCAAACUUAUGCUUUUUAUCCCAAUGGGACAAAGAGUGCAACACUGCAAGGAAGUCAGAAAAUGCAAACUUAGGUAGCAAAAGUAGGAAGAACCUCCAUGUUCCCUUUCUGUUUGUCAUUAUCUCUCCCCAGUCAAAAUCCUAAAACUAUUAGUAGUAGUAUGAAAGGAUAUGAAAACAAUUUACUCUCCCCACCUAUAUCAUACUGAAACUCUGCUUUAAAGCUCAGGAGAGAGGUGGAUGCUCAGUGUUGUCUAUAUAUCCAUUAUAUAUAGCUGAAGCUUUGAAAUUAAGAUGAUUAACUCAUCUUGAAAGAAACAGCUGCACCAAUGUGAUAGCAAACAAGCCAUUUUUAAAUAAAAACUCACUUGAAAAAAGCAAGUGCAUAUUUUGUGUAUGUUUUGAGUGGGGACAACAGAGAUCUGGACUAGAUUUAAGAUUAUACGGUAUUCUCCAAUAGAAAACCCUCUUGUAAGCCCCUCCUGAAUACUUAAGACAGCAGUAGGCACAGGGGCUUUCAAUAAGUACAGAAUGGCUGCUAUUAGGAAAGAGAACAAAUAAAAGGAGAGCCUACAACACAGUUCAAAAUUGAUACCUUAAAGGCCAUAGGUAAUACAGUUAUAGGAUGUAAUCAUUAUUGCUGGAGCAGUCUAUCCCCAUAUAAUAAAUUUUGUAUUAACCGUGGAUAAUCUAUGAAAAGUUUUAAUUCCAGGCGAGAUUUUCCGUUGCACCUCUCUCUCUCAUACUGUGGGCCAUCUCUUACUAAUGCUUAGCCUGUAUUUGUGUUCUGAAAUUCCAAGAAGAGGGAAAAGUCAAGCAUAUGACAAUUCUGUCAUGAUGAUUAACUGCUAAUAAAUGAAAACUCAUUAUAGAGUACCUAGCUUUCCUUGAUACUUUAAUCCAAUGAUUAAAAAUGUGAUAUAAAGAAAUACGUAACAUAGACUACAAGCUAUCGUAGGUCUGGAACAUGAGCCUUA